This 253-nucleotide ribosomal RNA is filed under the name uncultured bacterium. Its description in RNAcentral is "partial 16S ribosomal RNA". It matches the Rfam family "Bacterial small subunit ribosomal RNA", at positions 524 to 776 of the family's 1533-position model. The record is from RNAcentral.
UACGGAGGGUGCGAGCGUUAAUCGGAAUUACUGGGCGUAAAGCGUGCGUAGGCGGCCUGCCAAGUCAGGUGUGAAAGCCCCGGGCUCAACCUGGGAACGGCAUUUGAAACUGGCGGGCUAGAGUUAGGUAGAGGGAAGUGGAAUUUCAGGUGUAGCGGUGAAAUGCGUAGAUGUCUGAAGGAACACCAGUGGCGAAGGCGGCUUCCUGGACCCAAACUGACGCUGAGGUACGAAAGCGUGGGUAGCAAACAGG